GGGCCCUUAAGGUGUAGGACGGGAAGAGCCCAAGAUUGAAAGCUGGCGUCUUCGGCGUCCGCAUUGUAAUCUCAAGAAGUGUUUUCCGCUUCGGACCAAGCCUAAGUCCCUUGGAAAAGGGCAUCAUAGAGGGUGAUAAUCCCGUACAUGGCUUGGAGCGCCCGAAGCUUUGUGAUACGCUUUCUAAGAGUCGAGUUGUUUGGGAAUGCAGCUCAAAAUGGGUGGUAAAUGCCAUCUAAGGCUAAAUAUUGGGGAGAGACCGAUAGCGAACAAGUACAGUGAUGGAAAGAUGAAAAGAACUUUGAAAAGAGAGUUAAACAGUACGUGAAAUUGCCAAAAGGGAAGGGUAGGAGGUCAGAGAUGCGGCCUGGGAUUCAGCCUUGCUUUUGCUUGGUGUUUUUCCCAGAUUGCAGGCCAACGUCGGUUUUGGGCACUGGAGAAGGGUAGGAGGAACGUGGCACCUCUCGGGGUGUGUUAUAGCCUCCUACUGGAUACAGCGACCGAGACCGAGGACAGCAGCGUACUCGCAAGAGCGGGCCUUCGGGCACCUUUACGCUUAGGGCGUUGGCAUAAUGGCCCUCUACCACCCGUCUUGAAACAACGGACCA
RNAcentral lists this ribosomal RNA (608 nucleotides) under Moesziomyces aphidis. Its description in RNAcentral is "eukaryotic LSU rRNA". It matches the Rfam family "Eukaryotic large subunit ribosomal RNA", at positions 80 to 668 of the family's 3401-position model. Lineage: Eukaryota; Fungi; Basidiomycota; Ustilaginomycetes; Ustilaginales; Ustilaginaceae. The record is from RNAcentral.